Molecule: microRNA precursor, 87 nt
Filed under: Sorex araneus (European shrew)
Lineage: Eukaryota; Metazoa; Chordata; Mammalia; Eulipotyphla; Soricidae
Source: RNAcentral
GUCUACAGCCAUACCACCCUGAACACGCCCGAUCUUGUCUGACCUCGGAAGCUAAGCAGGGUCGGGCCUGGUUAGUACUUGGAUGGG